RNAcentral lists this long non-coding RNA (742 nucleotides) under Anas platyrhynchos platyrhynchos (common mallard). RNAcentral describes it as "lncRNA (ENSAPLG00000020720.1)". The record is from RNAcentral. Lineage: Eukaryota; Metazoa; Chordata; Aves; Anseriformes; Anatidae.
GUGAAGCCAGAACGUCAGAGCAAGGGAACUGCCAGACAAAGCAAAGAAAAUGAAGAUUUCUGUCUUGGGAAUUGAACCUUCAAUGUCUUAUUGUAUAAGGCCUGUGUGCACAGUCUGAGGAUCUGAUGAAAGCCAAACGACCAAAAUCCAGGAAGAGUGCUCAGUUCGUGGAUUUUCUCAUUUGCUUUCGUAGAUAUGAGAGAUUGUGUUGCUCAGGUGUUCAAGGUGUUGUGAGAGCAAUAUUCUGAGGGGAGAAAAUGGCAAGGCGGUUCACAUUUCUCUGUAUGCUCUAGCAGCCACCCCAGCAUGUAUUUUAGCUGGCACUGAGUGUAACCCCCAUGGUGGCAAGCUCCCCUGCUCCUUUCAGGUGUUUUGCUGGUGGGAUCAUCCAUGUUGCAGGAGACUCUCUGAGCCCCAGCAAGGUCGCACAGCCCUAGCAGAGCAGAGUCACUGCCACCCUCACGUAGGCAGUGACAUGGCGCAGGGGAUUACCCACCCUGGGGUCCUCCCAGUGAUACCUGGACAAGUCAGCAGCACACGGCAGCAGCAGCAGGGAGAAGUGAUGGGAGCACUUGCACCGUUUACCUGUGCCUCAGAGCAGCCACAGCAAGGGACCAGGACAGGCUGAUGCACCAAGGACACAUUGACUUGCUCACCUCCUGCACUGUUGGAAUUAGUUUUGCAGUUAAUAUACGCACUGAUGUCAAAUAAAAUGAAACCGUUAUGAUGUUGUGAGUUGCCU